Molecule: unclassified non-coding RNA, 151 nt
Filed under: soil metagenome
Description: partial internal transcribed spacer 1
Source: RNAcentral
CCGAGUUAUACAACUCAUCAACCCUGUGAACAUACCCUAAAACGUUGCUUCGGCGGGAACAGACGGCCCUGUAACAACGGGCCGCCCCCGCCAGAGGGACCCCUAACUCUGUUUUUAUAAUGUUUUUCUGAGUAAACAAGCAAAUAAAUUA